Callithrix jacchus (white-tufted-ear marmoset) is the source of this 3208-nucleotide non-coding RNA. Lineage: Eukaryota; Metazoa; Chordata; Mammalia; Primates; Cebidae. The record is from RefSeq and is a predicted model, not a curated record.
UUUUUUUUUUUUUUUUUGCGUUCUCUUUCCCUCUCCCAAUAUGGCGGCCUCAGCAAAAAAGAAGAAUAAGAAGGGGAAGACUAUCUCCCUUACAGACUUUCUGGCUGAGGAUGGGGGAACUGGUGGAGGAAGCACCUAUGUUUCCAAACCAGUCAGCUGGACUGAUGAAACAGAUGACCUAGAAGGAGAUGUUUCAACAACUUGGCACAGUAAUGAUGAUGAUGUGUAUAGGGCGCCUCCAAUUGAUCGUUCCAUCCUUCCCACUGUUCCACGGGCUGCUCGGGAACCUAAUAUCGACCUGAGCCGUCUUCCCAAAUCGCCACCCUACACUUCUUUUCUAGGGAACCUACCCUAUGAUGUGACAGAAGAGUCAAUUAAGGAAUUCUUCAGAGGAUUAAAUAUCAGUGCAGUGCCCUUACCACGUGAACCCAGCAAUCCAGAGAGGUUGAAAGGUUUUGGUUAUGCCGAAUUUGAGGACCUGGAUUCCCUGCUUAGCGCCCUGAGUCUCAAUGAAGAGUCUCUAGGUAACAGGAGAAUUCGAGUGGACGUUGCUGAUCAAGCACAGGAUAAAGACAGGGACUAUCGUUCUUUUAGCCGAGAUAGAAGUCGGGAUUCUGAUAAAACAGAUACAGACUGGAGGGCUCGUCCUGCCACAGACAGCUUUGAUGACUACCGGCCUAGAAGAGGUGACGAUAGCUUUGGAGACAAGUAUGGAGAUCGUUAUGAUUCAGACUGGUAUCGCGAUGGGUAUCGGGAUGGCCCUCGCCGGGAUAUGGAUCGAUAUCGCGGCCGUAAUCGUUAUGAUGACCGAGGGAGCAGAGACUAUGAUAGAGGCCAUGACUCCCGGAUAGGCAGUGGCAGAAGAGCAUUUGGCAGUGGAUACCGCAGGGAUGAUGACUACAGAGGAGGCGGGGACCGCUAUGAAGACCGAUAUGACAGACGGGAUGAUCGGUCAUGGAGCUCCAGAGAUGAUUACUCUCGGGAUGAUUAUAGGCAUGAUGAUAGAGGUCCGCCCCAAAGACCCAAACUGAAUCUAAAGCCUCGGAGUACUCCUAAGGAAGAUGAUUCCUCUGCUAGUACCUCCCAGUCCAGUCGAGCUGCUUCUAUCUUUGGAGGGGCAAAACACGUUGACACAGCUGCUAGAGAAAGAGAAGUAGAAGGACGGCUACAGAAGGAACAAGAGAAGUUGCAGCGUCAGCUGGAAGAGCCAAAACUAGAAAGACGGCCUCGGUAGAGACACCCAAGCUGGUGGAGUGAAGAAACUCAGGAACAGGAGCGGUCGAGGAGAGGAAGUGAGUCAUCGCAGACUGGGAUCUCCGCCACAUCUGGCAGAAAUGCACGAAGGAGAGUGAGAAGUCUCUAGAAAAUGAAACACUCAGUAAGGAGGAAGAUUGUCACUCUCCAACUUCUAAACCUCCCAAACCUGAUCAGCCCCUAAAGGUAAUGCCAGCCCCUCCACCAACGGAGAAUGCUUGGGUGAAGCGAAGUUCUAACCCUCCUGCUCGAUCUCAGAGCUCAGACACAGAGCAGCAAUCCCCUACAAGUGGUGGCGGCAAAGUGGCUCCAGCUCAUCCAUCUGAGGAAGGACCAGCCAGGAAAGAUGAAAACAAACUAGAUGGGAUGAAUGUCCCGAAAGGCCAAACUGGGAACUCUAGCCGUGGUCCAGGAGACGGAGUGAACAACUGGAAGGAGUCAGAUCGGAAAGAUGGCAAAAAGGACCAAGACUCCAGAUCUGCACCAGAAACCUGAGGAAAAUCCAGCGUCCAUGUUCAGUUCUGCGAGCAAGUAUGCUGCUCUCUCUGUUGAUGGUGGAGAUGAAAACGAGGGAGAAGAUGAUGCCGAAUAGACCUCAGCAUCCUGUGCUUUCUCCUCAUUUCUCUCCACCCUGGAACAUUCGAGAGCAAAUCAGGCCUCUAUCCAGACAAGACAAAAUAAAACUCACCGUCUCCUGGAAAAAAAAAAAAGAAAUCAAGUUUUUAAAACAUCUUAAAAAGUUGUGUCUUUAGUAUGCAAUAUUUAAACAUUGCCUGCAAUUCUGGAAUAACAGUAACCCUAAGAUAGAUACGAUUGAAAAAGGUGGCCAGGUCCAAAAGAGAAACUGCUUUGGAGGAAAAUGGCAAUCCCAUUGUUCUGCAUAAACCACUGGCUUUUCUUUAGCCUGAGUGAGAGGCUUGAGGACAGGGAAGUAUCGAAAGGGAAUUUCUCAGUCGAUAGUCCCCGAGCAGAGAGGUUGAGUUACGUGCGGCUCCCUUGAUAUGGUUUGGAUCUGUGUCCCUGUCCAAAUCUCAUGUGGAGUUGUAACCCCCAGUGUUGGAAGUGGUGUCUGGGUGGUGACUGGAUCAUGGGGGUGGUUUCCCAUGGUUUGGCACCAUCGCCCCUUGUUACUGACAUCUAGAGGUUUAAAGGUGCGUGGCCCCGCCCCCUUCUCUCACUUGCUCCAGGUCUGGCCAUGGGAAGUGCCUGCUCCCGCUUCACCUGCCAUUACUUUCCUGAGGCCUCCACAGCCAUGCUUGCUGGGCAGCCUGCAGAACCGUGAGCCAGUUCAACCUCUUUUCUUUAUAAAUUACAUAAUCACAGGCAUUUCUUUAUAACCCUUUGAGAAUGGACUAAUAACUAUAUCCCCUUACUUAGCCAGCACUUGAAGUUUCAAAAAUGAGGAUCAAGCAGUUCCUGGGAGCAUCCUAUAAGUGAUAACGAUUUUAAAAGGGGGACAUCAAAGUAGUUGUGGGAAAGCUGAAGGACCCAGUUAUCUCCACCUGAGGUGGGUAGCUGUGAGGGGCUAUGCAGAGGAGGUAUGAAGAAUGUGGGACAGCAGAGGCUGAGUAGAAAUGUGCCAGGUAGCAAAGGACCUUCCCAGCAGAGGCAAAGUUGGGGGUAAAUGUUGAGAGAGGUGAAAGUGCCUAGUGUGCUUGGGAUGGCUUGUAGAUGCAGGUGGAAAUGGAAUGUGGGGCAGAAUGGGGAAGGUCUUGCCAUCAUCCUAUGGAAUUUGGACUUCAUUCUCUAGGUAGUUUGUAAAGCAUGGGAAUGACUUGACUAGCAUUGGGAAGAUCAUUCGCCAUCAACACCAAGGAUAGCUUAAAAGAGGGCUGGUUUGCUCCUGCCCCCGACAUGGUUCUUCUCUGCAUCCUUGGCCCUCUCAUGCUUCAGUCCCAUCCCUAACUGGGACCACAUUUUAUGGUUCUGCCCUAGGUGUCUGUCUCUCUCUCUC